Molecule: long non-coding RNA, 646 nt
Filed under: Mytilus galloprovincialis (Mediterranean mussel)
Lineage: Eukaryota; Metazoa; Mollusca; Bivalvia; Mytilida; Mytilidae
Source: RNAcentral
GCGUGUCCAUUCUUUAUUAAGGGGCAUUUUUCCUGCACAUUUUUACAAAUGUUUUAUUUAGGAAAUUUGAGUUCCAUAGUCAUAUUACAGAGCAAAGCAAGUCGGUCGAGUCGUUCUUCUUGCAGAUGCAGAAUAUUUCUAGAUCAAAUUCUUUUUCAAGCGCCAACGCUUUGGCAUCGCUAAUAAAUAAAUCGUCGACCCUGAUCAAAUGUUCAUUAAACAUAGAAAAAGGAUAGUAUGAAAACAUUCCAUUCUCGGGUUAAACCUUUUGGUGAAGGAAAUUUAAGGUUAUGUUGUAUGCACAUCAACUUGAAACUUACUUUAUGUACAUUGUGCUAUUGUUGUAAUACUUGAAGUCUGUAACAUCGUUUGUCUCAUUGGCUAUUUUUGUCUUUUCAGUUCGUCGUCAUUUUUGGGUAGGUUGACCAGUUUAUGUUUGUGAGUCGGUCACAGCAAGGACUUAUAUACGUCCCUGGUCUGCCUGUGAUUCGGUCUACUGUUUGUCUGUGUGGAGGGUCUUAGUUUUUUUUUUUUGUUUUUUUUUUUUUUAAUUAGGCAGACCGUACACGUACGUUCCAAAUCCGCAUAUGGUCUGGAACAGAUAUGCAUGUUGACAAAGUCGAAGAUUACUUUUCUUGUGUAUCUU